UGGCUCAAAAGUUAAGAGCACUGGCCGCUCUUCCAGAGGACCUGGGUUCAAUUCCCAG
Molecule: transfer RNA, 58 nt
Filed under: Cricetulus griseus (Chinese hamster)
Lineage: Eukaryota; Metazoa; Chordata; Mammalia; Rodentia; Cricetidae
Source: Rfam by way of RNAcentral